RNAcentral lists this ribosomal RNA (1986 nucleotides) under Triticum aestivum (bread wheat). RNAcentral describes it as "partial small subunit ribosomal RNA". Lineage: Eukaryota; Viridiplantae; Streptophyta; Magnoliopsida; Poales; Poaceae. The record is from RNAcentral.
UACAGAGAUUUUUAUUCCUUUUUGAUGCGAUGUUUCUAGUCUGAGGACGUGUACUCUGGAGAAACGUCUCUAUGUUUAAUAUAGUUUUAAUAACCGUCUGUCGAAUCCUAAGUUCUCGUUCAUGUGUUCCUUUGUUCCCCACCACCUCACCGCAUGUCUGGUUUAGUAAGUUUCUUCGUGCUUUUGGUCGGAGGGAUGUGUUUAUUUUUCUUUGGCUUUCUUUUCCACCGGAGGUACUGGUUAGCUCCUUCUUUUUCCAGGGUAGAACAAAUAACGAAGUUAAUACCGUCGUCAAAACGGCACGUCCGGCUUUAUUAAAGGAGAACGGGGGGUGGUCGAAAACGAGUUGGACGAAGGGUAUACGUUAAUAAUUUAUAGAGGGGUAAAAAAAUGAUAGUUCCUAAGGGAAGAAAUAUAAUACUUUCUUUCUCUUUUCUCUCUUUUAUUGUUAUAAACGGUGAACGAUGCCCAUUCGACAGGGGCACACCAAGGGGCAAAGGACCGAUAAAUUCCGGAGGGUAGGGGAGGAUGGGAAAGGAAGGAGGGUAGCCGUGCGGGUAGGGCGAGGAGAGUAUUAGGACUCUCAAAGAAGAAAACAAAAUAAAAAUAAAGAACCAUCCUCAUUGUUAUCAAAACCGAGAGGAGGAAAGAGAGGGGGACAUAGGUUCCUCUCUUUAGGUCUCCGCUUCGAAGUCCCAGACAUUUAAAAGGCCUAGAUUAGUUGAUUGGCUUUUUUGGGUUUUUUCUUUGGUACUCGGUGAAGCGGCGGUACUUCUCGGGGCAGGGCCAGCGGCGGCGACGGCGACGGCGGUGGCUGCGCUUCUCGGGCGAGAAGACGGGGUUCGGCGCGGCGGGCCAGCGCGGGGAGGCCACGGUGGUCUCGCCGGUGAGACUGCGCCCGCGGCCGUACCUAGACGAGCUGGAGGAGGAUAGUUUCCCGCUGCUCUCGUUAGAAAGGCGCCGCAGGGGAGUCGGCGGCGACAAGACACCGAGCGGAGGCGCCGCCCGGAGCUUGGGCCACCAGGUGCUGUCGGCCAAGCCGUACCUGACGGGCAGGUCAGGGGACGGUACCACCGGCCACUACAGCGGCCAGUGCGGUCGCGGCCACCACCAGGCAGGGUGGGGUGCGGGCCGCCCUGGCGGCUACAGCGGGGCAAGGAGCCGACCCACGCGAGCGCACAAGGUCGGUCGGCAGGCGCAGCUCCCAAAACUGACGGAGCUGCCACCGGCAUCGCCGGCACCGGUACCGUAGCGGCGGUACCAGAUCUACGUGUAUGUUGUAGCUUAUUGGUCCUUUAGAAGAGGGGAGUCAUCACGUUUUCGAAACCCUCCCUCUCUCUACUCUCACUCCUCUACUCACUCUCCUCGAAUUCAGGUUUUAAAUUGGGGAUUUUUGAUAUAUUAGGUAGUUAGUUUAGGGUAUUCAUAUUACUCAGAUCCAUUAAAAUGGUGUUUAGAAAAACAUACAUUUAUUUAAAGUCCAAGUCUACGUCCACGGGAAGUACAUUUAAACCCUCGAGAUCAAACCCCCCUGCCCCAUCUUCUUUAGAUCUUCCCCCCUAGACCCUGUCUCCCGUGCUCUUUGUGCUUCAAAUCGGGAGAAACAUACUUAGUUAAAAAAGUACUCAGGGAAACGGAAGGAAGACCUAAUCAGUAAGUUAAUCCAACCUCCCUCCCCAACCCUUAAUCAAUCCAUGGACAGGAUCAAGUAGACAGUAGUACGAAUAAAAACCAAAUACUACCUUAACAAAAACAGGUACGUUGGUUCUUUAGGUCCCGGUCGUUCCGGUACCUCUACACAUGUUUUCUCACCGAUGGUCUUCUCUUCUCUCUCGUCGAUCCAAAUUCAGUUCAGUUACUCACUCAACACACUCUCCGUACUUACUACAUAAGGACUAUAGCAAAAGAGACAUAUACAUUAUAUAGCAAAGUAACUUCGUUAUACACAUUAUAGAGUACGGUACUAAUAGUGGUAGGGAACACUGU